CCUACGGGAGGCAGCAGUGGGGGAUAUUGCACAAUGGGGGGAACCCUGAUGCAGCGACGCCGCGUGGGUGAAGGAGCGUUUCGGCGCGUAAAGCCCUAUCGGCAGGGAAGAAGGAGGACGGUACCUGACUAAGAAGCCACGGCUAACUACGUGCCAGCAGCCGCGGGAAUACGUCGGGGGCAAGCGUUAUCCGGAUGUACUGGGUGUAAAGGGGGCGCAGACGGCAGCGCAAGCCAGGAGUGAAAGACCGGGGCCCAACCCCGGGACUGCUAUUGGAACUGCGCGGCUGGAGUGCAGGAGGGGCAGGCGGAAUUCCUGGUGUAGCGGUGAAAUGCGUAGAUAUCAGGAGGAACACCGGUGGCGAAGGCGGCCUGCUGGACUGCGACUGACGUUGAGGCCCGAAAGCGUGGGGAGCAAACAGGAUUAGAUACCCCAGUAGUC
Molecule: ribosomal RNA, 441 nt
Filed under: uncultured bacterium
Lineage: Bacteria
Description: partial 16S ribosomal RNA
Rfam family: Bacterial small subunit ribosomal RNA
Source: RNAcentral